GGCUCUGCCAUUAUGAUUUGGGCUACACACGUGCUACAAUGGACAAUACAAAGGGCAGCGAAACCGCGAGGUCAAGCAAAUCCCAUAAAGUUGUUCUCAGUUCGGAUUGUAGUCUGCAACUCGACUACAUGAAGCUGGAAUCGCUAGUAAUCGUAGAUCAGCAUGCUACGGUGAAUACGUUCCCGGGUCUUGUACACACCGCCCGUCACACCACGAGAGUUUGUAACACCCGAAGCCGGUGGAGUAACCAUUUGGAGCUAGCCGUCGAAGGUGGGACAAAUGAUUGGGGUGAAGUCGUAACAAGGUAGCCGUAUCGGAAGGUGCGGUUGGAUCACCUCCUAA
RNAcentral lists this ribosomal RNA (342 nucleotides) under Staphylococcus lugdunensis. RNAcentral's name for it is "bacterial SSU rRNA". It matches the Rfam family "Bacterial small subunit ribosomal RNA", at positions 1192 to 1533 of the family's 1533-position model. Lineage: Bacteria; Bacillati; Bacillota; Bacilli; Caryophanales; Staphylococcaceae. The record is from RNAcentral.